RNAcentral lists this ribosomal RNA (484 nucleotides) under uncultured bacterium. Its description in RNAcentral is "partial 16S ribosomal RNA". It matches the Rfam family "Bacterial small subunit ribosomal RNA", at positions 28 to 507 of the family's 1533-position model. The record is from RNAcentral.
GAUGAACGCUGGCGGCGUGCUUAACACAUGCAAGUCGAACGGAAAGGCCCUGCUUGCUGGGUACUCCAGUUGCGAACGGGCGGGUAACUCGUGGGUGAUUUGCCCUGCACUUCGGGUUAAGCUAGGGCAACUGGGUCUAAUACCUGAUAGGAACUAUCUUCAGCGUGGUGGUUGGAAAGUUCUUUCGGUGUUGGAUGAGCUGACGACGUAGGAGCUGGUUGGUGGGGUAAUGGGCUAUCAAGGCGGCGACGCGUAGCCGGCCUGAGAGGGUGAACGGCCACAAGGGAACUGAGACACGGACCAGGCUCGUACGGGAGGCCGCAGUCGGGAAUGGGGCAGAAGGGGCGAAAGUCUGACAAUGGGAGCAAGCGUGAGUGAGGAAGGCCUCGUGGUGGUAGAAGGCUUUUGGGUUGUAAGAACAUCUGGCUAGGGACGCAGCUUUGUUGUGACGGUACCUAGAUAAGAAGCACCGGCUAACUACGUG